AGAGUUUGAUCAUGGCUCAGAUUGAACGCUGGCGGUAUGCUUAACACAUGCAAGUCGAACGGUAGCAGCUCUUCGGAGGCUGACGAGUGGCGGACGGGUGAGUAACGCGUAGGAAUCUGCCUAUUAGUGGGGACAACUUGUGGAAACGCAAGCUAAUACCGCAUACGCCCUACGGGGGAAAGGAGGGGAUCUUCGGACCUUUCGCUAAUAGAUGAGCCUGCGUUAGAUUAGCUAGUUGGUGGGGUAAGAGCCUACCAAGGCGACGAUCUAUAGCUGUUCUGAGAGGAAGAUCAGCCACACUGGGACUGAGACACGGCCCAGACUCCUACGGGAGGCAGCAGUGGGGAAUAUUGGACAAUGGGCGAAAGCCUGAUCCAGCAAUACCGCGUGUGUGAAGAAGGCCUUAGGGUUGUAAAGCACUUUCAAUUGGGAGGAAAAACAAGGGUUAAUACCCCUUGUCUUGACAUUACCUUUAGAAGAAGCACCGGCUAACUCCGUG
Molecule: ribosomal RNA, 499 nt
Filed under: uncultured bacterium
Lineage: Bacteria
Description: bacterial SSU rRNA
Rfam family: Bacterial small subunit ribosomal RNA
Source: RNAcentral